AGCGAACGCUGGCGGCAGGCCUAACACAUGCAAGUCGAACGAACUCUUCGGAGUUAGUGGCGGACGGGUGAGUAACACGUGGGAACGUGCCUUUUGGUUCGGAAUACCUCAGGGAAACUUGUGCUAAUACCGAAUGUGCCCUUCGGGGGAAAGAUUUAUCGCCAUUAGAGCGGCCCGCGUCUGAUUAGCUAGUUGGUGAGGUAACGGCUCACCAAGGCGACGAUCAGUAGCUGGUCUGAGAGGAUGACCAGCCACACUGGGACUGAGACACGGCCCAGACUCCUACGGGAGGCAGCAGCGGGGAAUCUUGCGCAAUGGGCGAAAGCCUGACGCAGCCAUGCCGCGUGAAUGAUGAAGGUCUUAGGAUUGUAAAAUUCUUUCACCGGGGACGAUAAUGACGGUACCCGGAGAAGAAGCCCCGGCUAACUUCGUG
Molecule: ribosomal RNA, 433 nt
Filed under: uncultured bacterium
Lineage: Bacteria
Description: partial 16S ribosomal RNA
Rfam family: Bacterial small subunit ribosomal RNA
Source: RNAcentral